GAAACACUUGCUUCCCAUUGAGGACAUGUCAGAUCCCCACAUCGCCCCAAAUCGCCCACUGGAUAAGCAAAGCUGGUUGAGCUGUGCUCAGCAAGCAAGCGGGUGCGGGGGAGACAGACAGCGUAGCAUCGGGGGUCCUGGUCCUGCCCGGAGCCUGGGCGAUCUGCUUAGGAGAUGCCGGGACAUCAGGAAGCCUGACUCUUCUUACAACCUUUCCUGCAACAAUUGUGAUUAUCCUGCCACCAAAGAGAAGAGGAAGCUAGUUUUAAUGGCCAAUAAGGGACAACGUUGGUGUUACCUGUCCUGGCUUGGGAAAAGGCUGGCCCUCUCCAAUCCUGACAGCCUGCGUGGCCCAAUGCUGGCCACCACCCGGCCGUGGGUUACCCACUCGGCUCGCUUUUCAAGUCUGCCUAUCGGAAAGUGGGUAGAAAUUUCUCUGCUUCUUGCUGCCCUCGUCUGAAAAACCCUGCUCCCGUGUUGGGGUCUCAGGAAACCGUAGAUUCCGGCUUCAUGAAGUCUGCAGGUUGCGGAUGUGGAGGGAGAGGAAACAGAUGCCCGAAGAUCUUCUAGAAAUGUACCAUGGUCUUGAUUUAGGACCUUGGCUUCUAAACAAGCAGCACUACAUUUAUU
This 630-nucleotide long non-coding RNA is filed under the name Vulpes vulpes (red fox). RNAcentral's name for it is "lncRNA (ENSVVUG00000022332.1)". Lineage: Eukaryota; Metazoa; Chordata; Mammalia; Carnivora; Canidae. The record is from RNAcentral.